Pristis pectinata (smalltooth sawfish) is the source of this 906-nucleotide long non-coding RNA. RefSeq lists it as uncharacterized. The record is from RefSeq and is a predicted model, not a curated record. The transcript has 5 exons. NCBI's taxonomy places the organism in Eukaryota, Metazoa, Chordata, Chondrichthyes, Rhinopristiformes, Pristidae.
CGCCACUCAGCUGAAGAGAAAUGAAGCUGGCCCGGUUACAGCACAGCAAUUAGAUUUCAGAACACAACAAGUAUUUUAAUUGCAGUUGGUUUAUUCCGGGACACGUACCCGCGUCAAGACCGUGCGACAUUCAAUCAUGUAUUUGACAUCUAUCGCGCCGACUUUGUCCGUAAUAUAAGCCUGCGUCCAUUGCAGAAAGGUCACAUUUUAGAAUUUCGGCGAAUGAACAUCAUUGGAACAAAGGCGAGAGCAGCCGCAAUUAAUGGGGAUUUUUGUGAGAAAAUUGAAAUUACUAUUACUUACAACAGGCUGCGAUGCCGCGUCAUUAGUGUGCUCCAUUGCUGCUAUCAGAACCUUCUCUGAAGUGGUGAAUUGUUGUGAACGUUUGCGCGAGAAGUCAGGAGCAUUUAUCUGGAGUUGCAAAAUGUGAAGAAAAAGAUCAUGGAACACAAAAACAUUGAAUUGGUUGAUUUCAAAGAAGACCGUAAUUACACGAAGAAACCCAUAAAGCCAUUAAGACGUCUAGCCAGUUGUGGGGUUUAUCGUAUCCCGUUCCUUCCUGUUUUAAAGUACUGUACGCAAAAUUGUGGCAAUAGAUGGCGUUGGAAUUCAACACCUCUGGACACGACACGUUUUCAGGGAACUUCUUCAAAAAGAACAUGGUUCUAAUUUGAGAAAUCAUGCCUUUGUUUCUGGUGGAAUAUCUAACUGAGAUAGUGACGUGAAAUAAAAUCAAGCUUUCGAACUGUUUGUGCUUUGUGGCCAUGUAUGGGUCGAUUAUACCUCCUCCUUAUACAAUGUCUUCUCAAUAAUACUGCGGUUGUUUGUACUUAUAUUCUUACUUGACUAAUACAACAUAUGUAUCGGUGACAAUGAUUAGGUCUUGCAGAUGAAUAACAUUUAUAA